RNAcentral lists this ribosomal RNA (253 nucleotides) under uncultured bacterium. RNAcentral's name for it is "partial 16S ribosomal RNA". It matches the Rfam family "Bacterial small subunit ribosomal RNA", at positions 524 to 776 of the family's 1533-position model. The record is from RNAcentral.
UACGAAGGGGGCUAGCGUUGCUCGGAAUCACUGGGCGUAAAGCGCACGUAGGCGGCUUUCUAAGUCAGGGGUGAAAUCCUGGAGCUUAACUCCAGAACUGCCUUUGAUACUGGAAAGCUUGAGUCCGGGAGAGGUGAGUGGAACUGCGAGUGUAGAGGUGAAAUUCGUAGAUAUUCGCAAGAACACCAGUGGCGAAGGCGGCUCACUGGCCCGGUACUGACGCUGAGGUGCGAAAGCGUGGGGAGCAAACAGG